This 237-nucleotide unclassified non-coding RNA is filed under the name Glomeraceae sp. RNAcentral's name for it is "partial contains 5.8S ribosomal RNA and internal transcribed spacer 2". The stretch from base 1 to 65 matches the Rfam family "5.8S ribosomal RNA", at positions 84 to 154 of the family's 154-position model. The record is from RNAcentral. Lineage: Eukaryota; Fungi; Glomeromycota; Glomeromycetes; Glomerales; Glomeraceae.
GUGAAUCAUCAAAUCUUUGAACGCAAAUUGCACUCUCCUCGGAGAGUAUGCCUGUUUGAGGGUGAGCCUAUGAAAAAUCGACAUCGUCGCUGUUUCGCGUUGGCGUUCGUCGGUAAUUGGUUUAUCUUAAAUCCUUUUGGGUUUUAAGCGACUUAAAAUCUUCUUUUUGGUUCCAUGAACGUUUCUAAGAUUUAUGUCUUUACACGUUUAAGGUAUCGAUUUUUAUUAGACGGGACU